This 143-nucleotide small nuclear RNA is filed under the name Pelodiscus sinensis (Chinese soft-shelled turtle). Its description in RNAcentral is "U1 spliceosomal RNA (ENSPSIG00000019804.1)". Lineage: Eukaryota; Metazoa; Chordata; Testudines; Trionychidae. The record is from RNAcentral.
UCACUCAUCUGGCAGGGGAGAUAUUAUGGCUAUAAGGUAGUUUUCCCUUUGUGAGGCUAUUGCACUCCAGUUGUGGUGACUCCUACCAUAUCUCCAAUUAUGGGAAAUAUGACUACAUAAGUUGAGUGUGGUGGAAACUCCGA